GACGAACGCUGGCGGCGCGCCUAACACAUGCAAGUCGAACGAGCGAGAGAGAGCUUGCUUUCUCAAGCGAGUGGCGAACGGGUGAGUAACGCGUGAGGAACCUGCCUCAAAGAGGGGGACAACAGUUGGAAACGACUGCUAAUACCGCAUAAGCCCACGGCUCGGCAUCGAGCAGGGGGAAAAGGAGCAAUCCGCUUUGAGAUGGCCUCGCGUCCGAUUAGCUAGUUGGUGAGGUAACGGCCCACCAAGGCGACGAUCGGUAGCCGGACUGAGAGGUUGAACGGCCACAUUGGGACUGAGACACGGCCCAGACUCCUACGGGAGGCAGCAGUGGGGAAUAUUGCACAAUGGGGGAAACCCUGAUGCAGCGACGCCGCGUGGAGGAAGAAGGUCUUCGGAUUGUAAACUCCUGU
This 413-nucleotide ribosomal RNA is filed under the name uncultured bacterium. RNAcentral describes it as "bacterial SSU rRNA". It matches the Rfam family "Bacterial small subunit ribosomal RNA", at positions 28 to 436 of the family's 1533-position model. The record is from RNAcentral.